UCAGUAGUGAUUUAUAGCAGCUGGUUACUAGCCAGCUGCGCCACAGCCCGGCAUAGAAAUAGCAUAGAUUUCACUUAUUGCAACCUAUGUCUCUUAAAGUGGACCCCCCUCUCAAUUCACUAUUGCUCUUGGUGAAGUCUCUGCCCCAUUCUGCCCCUUCGCCUUUUCUUCUUUUCCUCUUGGGCUCCUUCCUCCUGGAGGCCUCCAUUCUGUCCUUUGGGUCUCCAAGGGUGGGAAAUGCCCGGGCUGAGCCCACCCCACGCUCAGGAUUCCCAUGAACAGGAGGGGGAGCCCUUGAGUCACAUCCAUGGCCCAAAAGGACACUCAACCCCUCCUCCUCCCCCCUUUCCCCAAACCAGCAGGUCCUAUAGAAGCUGAGCCACGACCUAAAGCAGCACUUGGCCGCCUAUUCCAAGCGAGUGGCUGGAUCCGUCACAGAACUCAUGCAGGCGGCUGAAGCUAUGAACGGAACAGAGUGGGUGGACCCUGAAGACCCCACAUUACAGAGAACAAGCUGUUGGGAGUCGUGGCGGCCAUUAUGGUUGUGACCAAGGAUCUGGAGCAGCUGAAGCUGAGGGCCAAGCCCACGGUAGGUCAUAGAGAUGCUCCAUCCCCCACCCCAAUAUUGCUCAGGUGGGACCCCAGUUCCUAUUGCAAGGAGGGCCACAUUGCUUUCAUGGUUAGAAGGCAGGCAUGGGCCAACUUGGGCCCUCCCUCCAGGUGUUUUGUGUUGGGAAUCACCCUGGACUACUCAAGUCUAAAUGUAGUCAGAUAGAUGAUAGAGUUAGAUUGAGAGAAUCCUUUCCCCGUUUCCAAAGCAUGCCUAGAUAGGAUUCACCAUUGUUUCCUGCUUCCCAUCCUAUUUAGGUCAGCCACUCUUUGAUGUUUCUAGAAAUGUGAUCUCUCCCAGGGCUUUGACGUAACUUCCCCAAUUUGGCCUUUGGAAUGUUUAUGGCCCUAGAGAAGAACAGACCCACAAGGCUUGGUCGCCUUUCCAGCUUUCUGCUUUGUUCCAGAGAGGACGCACCUCUGUCCUCUAUUAGUCAAGAUGUAGCUAUCUAGAGCUUUGUUAUUUUAAUCCGUCUAUGUGUAUUAGAACAGGAUAGAUUAGAUAGUUAGCUCCAAACCUUUUCUAUCCAUCAAUUGAUUUCUUUUUACCUCAAUAAAUGCUUUUAAACUUUAAA
Molecule: long non-coding RNA, 1184 nt
Organism: Anolis carolinensis (green anole)
Lineage: Eukaryota; Metazoa; Chordata; Lepidosauria; Squamata; Anolidae
Exons: 2
Source: RefSeq, a predicted model, not a curated record